CAGAACGUAGCUAAAAUCUUAAAGCACCUCCCUUACACCGAGAAGAUAUCCGUGAAAAUCGGAUCGCUCUGC
This 72-nucleotide transfer RNA is filed under the name Epiplatys spilargyreius. Its description in RNAcentral is "tRNA-Val". It matches the Rfam family "tRNA". From Rfam's summary of the family: Transfer RNA (tRNA) molecules are approximately 80 nucleotides in length. The record is from RNAcentral. Lineage: Eukaryota; Metazoa; Chordata; Actinopteri; Cyprinodontiformes; Nothobranchiidae. RNAcentral also lists the same sequence under 1 other name.